RNAcentral lists this ribosomal RNA (1017 nucleotides) under Clostridioides difficile. RNAcentral's name for it is "partial 23S ribosomal RNA". It matches the Rfam family "Bacterial large subunit ribosomal RNA", at positions 890 to 1926 of the family's 2925-position model. Lineage: Bacteria; Bacillati; Bacillota; Clostridia; Peptostreptococcales; Peptostreptococcaceae. The record is from RNAcentral.
AGAGAUACGGAGGUAGAGCACUGAAUGUCCUAGGGGGUAUUGCACCUACCGAAGACUAUCAAACUCCGAAUGCCGUCAUCUUAUACUUGGGAGUCAGACUGUGGGUGAUAAGAUUCAUAGUCGAAAGGGCAACAGCCCAGAUCGUCAGCUAAGGUCCCUAAAUGUAAGUUAAGUGGUAAAGGAUGUGGGAUUGCACAGACAACCAGGAUGUUGGCUUAGAAGCAGCCACUCAUUCAAAGAGUGCGUAAUAGCUCACUGGUCGAGUGAUCCUGCGCCGAAGAUUUCCGGGGCUAAAACUUACUACCGAAGCUACGGCAUCAUUAUGAUGGGUAGGGGAGCUUCCCAUACGGGUUGAAGCAUGACCGUAAGGACAUGUGGACAGUAUGGGAGUGAGAAUGUUGGCAUGAGUAGCGAGAUGUGGGUGAGAAUCCCACAGGCCGUAAACCCAAGGUUUCCAGGGGAAGGUUCGUCCGCCCUGGGUUAGUCGGGACCUAAGCUGAGGCCGAAAGGCGUAGGUGAUGGACAACAGGUUGAUAUUCCUGUACUACCGAUAACCGUUUGAGAGAUGGGAUGACACAGUAGGAUAAGCUAAGCACACUGUUGGUUAUGUGUGCCCAAGCAUUGAGGCAGUCAGAGUAGGUAAAUCCGCUUUGAUAAUGCUGGGAUGUGAUGGGGAGCGAAAUUUAGUAGCGAAGUAGCUGAUUUCACACUGUCAAGAAAAGUCUCUAUCGAGGUUAAAGGUACCCGUACCGCAAACCGACACAGGUGGGUGAGGAGAGUAUCCUAAGGCCCGCGAGAGAACUGUUGUUAAGGAACUCGGCAAAAUGACCCCGUAACUUAGGGAUAAGGGGUGCCACCAUCCGGUGGCCGCAGAGAAUAGGCCCAAGCGACUGUUUACCAAAAACAUAGGUUUCUGCUAAGUCGCAAGACGAUGUAUAGGAGCUGACGCCUGCCCGGUGCUGGAAGGUUAAGGGGAUCUGUUAGAGCAAUCGAAGCAGUGAACUUAAGCCCCAGUAA